Molecule: long non-coding RNA, 487 nt
Organism: Leptidea sinapis
Lineage: Eukaryota; Metazoa; Arthropoda; Insecta; Lepidoptera; Pieridae
Exons: 3
Source: RefSeq, a predicted model, not a curated record
CUAAAAUUAUACGCACGGUAUUUACACAAACAAUAAACAGACUCCAGCAGGCCAUGCAUCCAUCACACAAAUAAAUUAUCAUUACAAUAUGGAAAAGGAUCAAUAAAAUAUUUUUUUAUUCACAACAACGAUGAGUACAAUAAUCUGACCCCAUGGAGUGGUGGACCUAUGCGCCGGUAAUCUUGGCCGUCGUGAUGUUUCUUCUAAUGGGGACUAUAUUCGAGCGCAGAAUUGAAGCAGCCAUCCGAAGAAUUCUGGAAACUCGCCAGAUGUUAACCGUAGCUGAAGCACCCGCCAUCCCUGAAAUAGAUACCGCUCUACUCCAGGCGUCCAUCACAACCAAACGAAAAGUGCUAGAGACCAAGAGAUGCACCUCGGACACUGUAGCCCACAAGAGUAUUGUAACGAUACUACCUCACAGAUCCGUGCCUCUUAUCAAUAUGCACACUAUAUAAAUCAAAUUGUAAUUUUUCAAUAAACAAUACAA